Molecule: long non-coding RNA, 1310 nt
Organism: Microplitis mediator
Lineage: Eukaryota; Metazoa; Arthropoda; Insecta; Hymenoptera; Braconidae
Exons: 4
Source: RefSeq, a predicted model, not a curated record
GGUACUCGAGCAUGCAAGUGAAACGUUAAAAUUUCUCUUCACAUUAUAUAUUAUUUCAAAAUUUUAAAUUACUACUCUAAACAUACCCGUAUAAAUAAUUAACUACUCUCAAAACUUGAACUCUGUAAUUUAUAAUAACACUCUUUAGUAAAACUAAAAAAAAAAAAAAAAUUAAUAUUUAUAAUUAAUUAUUAACAUAUAUAUUUAUUACGAUUAAACUUUUAAACUUUCACUAGCCGAUUUCGGAAGUUUAUCAUAAUCAUUUAAUUUAUAUUUUUGAGUUCAACCAACCUAGAAUCCGGCAUGUUCACUCGUUCGAAAAUCCUCAAUACAAUUAUGAACCUCAUUAUUAAAUAACUUUAAAAAAAUAUAUAUGAGACCGGAGAUCGAUGGAAUAUUGCGGAAGUUUUGAAAAAAAAAAUUUCACUAAUUUUAUAUGGAUUACUAAUUUCAGAAAAAUAUGAAACACUCGAGAGAAAUAUGAAACACUCGAGGUAAAAUGGGACACGUAAAAAAAUUUUUGGACAAAAAAAUUUUUGAAAAUAUUAAACUCUACUUCAAAUAAAUAUGACAUUAAAAUUUAAAACAGAUUUAAAAAAAAUUCAAAUUCAAAUUUUGGAGGCGGGAAAAAUUUCACUAAUUUUAUAUGGAUUACUAAUUUCAGAGAAAUAUGAAACACUCGAGGUAAAAUGGGACACAUAAAAAAAUUUUUUGACAAAAAAAUUUUUGAACUUAAUAUUAAACUCUACUUCAAAUAAAUAUGACAUUAAAAUUUAAAAAAGAUUUCAAAAAUAUUCAAAUUCAAAUUUUGGAGGCGGGAAAAAUUUCACUAAUUUUAUAUGGAUUACUAAUUUCAGAGAAAUAUGAAACACUCGAGGUAAAAUGGGACACGUAAAAAAAUUUUUGGACAAAAAAAUUUCUGAAAAUAUUAAACUCUACUUCAAAUAAAUAUGACAUUAAAAUUUACAAAAUAUUUCAAAAAUAUUCAAAUUCAAAUUUUGGAGGCGGGAAUAAUUUCGAAAUAAUUGUACCAUUUUAAAAUUGGGUUUGAUGCCAUUUUGAGUUCACGAGGUCGGAAUAACAUUAGCGCACUUAAUAUUCUUUACUGUUGUUUUCGUUAUCGUUGCAAGCUAGAGACGGAUUGAGACAAAGGAAAAGUGUUUAUCUAAUUAGGAAUGUGGUUACCUUGUUCUUAAGUCUUUACUUUAAGUUAUAUAUUAUGUCUUUGUUUAGUAUUUUUAAUUAUUUAAUUAUAUAUGAUUUUUGUUUUAUUCAAAUCGUGUUUCUUAAUUAAAAUAAACGAUUUUUGU